GGAGUUAGCCGGUGCUUCUUCUGUGAGUGAUGUCCUUCCUGCCGGUUAUUGACCCGCAGGCCUUCUUCCUCACUGAAAGUGCUUUACAACCCGAAGGCCUUCUUCACACACGCGGCAUGGCUGGAUCAGGGUUGCCCCCAUUGUCCAAUAUUCCCCACUGCUGCCUCCCGUAGGAGUCUGGGCCGUGUCUCAGUCCCAGUGUGGCUGAUCAUCCUCUCAGACCAGCUACGGAUCGUCGCCUUGGUGAGCCGUUACCUCACCAACCAGCUAAUCCGACAUAGGCUCAUCCGAUAGCGCGAGGCCCGAAGGUCCCCCGCUUUCCCCCGUAGGGCGUAUGCGGUAUUAGCCUGGGUUUCCCCAGGUUAUCCCCCACUACCGGGCAGAUUCCUAUGCAUUACUCACCCGUCCGCCGCUCGCCACCAGGGAGCAAGCUCCCCGUGCUGCCGCUCGACUUGCAUGUGUUAGGCCUGCCGCCAGCGUUCAAUCUGACCAAGAUCAAACUCUGA
Molecule: ribosomal RNA, 506 nt
Filed under: uncultured bacterium
Lineage: Bacteria
Description: partial 16S ribosomal RNA
Source: RNAcentral